AUACGAAGGGGGCGUAGCGUUGUUCGGAAUUACUGGGCGUAAAGCGCAUGUAGGCGGACAUUUAAGUCAGGGGUGGAAAUCCCGGGGCGUCAACCUCGGAACUGCCUUUGAUACUGGGUGUCUAGAGUGUGGAAGAGGUAAGUGGAAUUCCGAGUGUAGAGGUGAAAUUACGUAGAUAUUCGGAGGAACACCAGUGGCGAAGGCGGCUUACUGGUCCAUUACUGACGCUGAGGUGCGAAAGCGUGGGGAGGC
RNAcentral lists this ribosomal RNA (252 nucleotides) under uncultured bacterium. RNAcentral describes it as "partial 16S ribosomal RNA". It matches the Rfam family "Bacterial small subunit ribosomal RNA", at positions 523 to 770 of the family's 1533-position model. The record is from RNAcentral.